This is a long non-coding RNA of Ornithodoros turicata, 221 nucleotides long. RefSeq lists it as uncharacterized. The record is from RefSeq and is a predicted model, not a curated record. NCBI's taxonomy places the organism in Eukaryota, Metazoa, Arthropoda, Arachnida, Ixodida, Argasidae. The transcript is spliced from 4 exons.
ACAGGAUUGGUCACGUUCGUAUGCUUGUGUUUCUGGUGCGUUGUAGAUGUGGUGGAGACAGGGCUUGUCCUUGGUGCUUGACGUACAGUGUGUCAUAGAAGAUAUGAUGCAUGACGGUUGACCUUUGAUGAAUUUGGUGUCCAGUAAAACUUCUUGGACGUAUAGCACAAAGCAGGCAUCUGGCAAGAACCUUCGGAUGGACAAAUUGAAUCCAGAGGCAG